CGAGUUUUGAAAGGAGUUGUAGCUGUCCUCAUGGGGCAUGUGCACGCUCUGCUUCAAUCCACUCUCUACACCUGUGCACUUACUGUGGGCUUUCCGGAGGGGAGGGUUUGCAAUCCGUUUGUAAAUCUUUUGGGAGGGCCUGCGUUUAUUCACAAACACUUAUAACAGUAAUGGAAUGUAUACUAUGAUGUAACACAUCUAUAAUA
This 206-nucleotide unclassified non-coding RNA is filed under the name Polyporus pseudobetulinus. Its description in RNAcentral is "partial ITS1". The record is from RNAcentral. Lineage: Eukaryota; Fungi; Basidiomycota; Agaricomycetes; Polyporales; Polyporaceae.